GAUGAACGCUAGCGGCAGGCUUAAUACAUGCAAGUUGAGGGGCAGCAUGAUAUACGCGAGUAUAUUGAUGGCGACCGGCGGACGGGUGAGUAAUAGGUAGGAGACCUACCUCAUACAGGGGGAUAGCAUAGAGAAAUCUGUGGUAAUACCCCAUGAGGUUAUAUGAAUAGAGGCAUAUAAUCAAAGCAUAAGCGAUUAUGCGGUAUGAGAGGGGCCUACUGACCAUUAGCUAGUUGGUGAGGUAAGGGCUCACCAAGGCGAAGAUGGUUAGGGGUUUUGAGAGAGAGACCCCCCACAUUGGAACUGAGAGACGGUCCAGACUCCUACGGGAGGCAGCAGUAGGGAAUAUUGGGCAAUGGGCGAAAGCCUGACCCAGCCCAUGCCGCGUGAGGGAAGACGGCCUUAUGGGUUGUAAACUUCUUUACUACGCGAAUAGAGGUUAGUACGAGAUACUAAUAGGAAGGUAGUGUAGUAAAAGCACCGGCUAACUCCGUGCC
RNAcentral lists this ribosomal RNA (497 nucleotides) under uncultured bacterium. RNAcentral's name for it is "bacterial SSU rRNA". It matches the Rfam family "Bacterial small subunit ribosomal RNA", at positions 28 to 509 of the family's 1533-position model. The record is from RNAcentral.